This is a long non-coding RNA of Pseudopipra pipra, 4799 nucleotides long. RefSeq lists it as uncharacterized. Lineage: Eukaryota; Metazoa; Chordata; Aves; Passeriformes; Pipridae. The record is from RefSeq and is a predicted model, not a curated record. The transcript has 7 exons.
GCUCGCCUCUUCCGAGCAGCCGGGGUGAGGCCAGCGGCUCGUUGCCUCUCGGGAAGCCCCAGGCAGCCGGGCUCCGAGCCCCUCUCCCCAGCGCCCCGGGGAGGUGACAUGGCACUUCCUUCGGCCCUUUCUCCCCCCGGCGGCAGCGCCUCGGCCGGCGGGACGAGGCGGAGGCGGAGGCCGUGGUCGCGGCCGGGGGGCCGGGCGCAGGAUGCCCACACACCUACAUAACCACCCACCCACCGUCCACGCCGCCGCCCGCGGGUCCCGGUCUCGGCUGGCGGGCGGGAAGCGGGGCGGGCGCCCUCCGCUGGCCGCCGCGGGGCCGGGAGCGGGGCCGGGAGCGGGGCCGGGAGCGGGGCCGGGAGCGGGGCCGGGAGCGGGGCCGGGAGCGGGGCCGGGAGCGGGGCCGGGAGCGGGGCCGGGAGCGGCUCCCGCCGGCGCCGCCUGCCCGCGGCAGUGCCCGGGGUAAGCGGAGAGGGGAGCGAGGGAAGCUUGCGCUGACCCGGGAGCCCACCCGCCCGCCGUGGAUAAAUCCACGAGUAAAAAUCUUGGGCUUUCAACGCCGCCCGCCAGGCAGCACUAAUGGCGGCUUUGUAGCCCUGAGAAGGUUGAUUUUGGACCUGUGUUGUAACCUUAUUUCCUUCUCCUUUUGUUCCUGGCUGGAGAGCCUAUGUGAUCUCUGGACCUAGCUCAUCAUUUUGCCUUCUCUGGGACUAUUGGAGGGCCCUGUUACCAGACUACCAGUAAGUAGUGUGAUCUAUGUACUGUGUUCAGAUGUGGGACUGUGCCUUGGUCAGCACAGGCACUGCCUGCACUGAGUCAUCCUCGGCCUGUGGCUUUCCCUCCCUUAGGGGAGCAGCUGGCCCUUACUGCUUCUUGGCACAAGGCAACGUUGCCCACUAUUGUUACCACCCACCCCGAAGACUUUCCAUAGUGGACAAAUAAUGAACGCCAAAAACCAGUGAAAUCAUCAAGGCUGAUGCUCAUCCCUCAGAAGGAUACUGGGAGGAACGUGAAUGUCAGAGAACAGCAUGACAAGCCAUAACAAUCACAAGACCAAAUGUGUAGCCUCUGUGAUGCAAAUUAUAUUUAACCAGCUCUGGGGACUGAAUAUGGAUUGGUGUUUUGUGGGCUUGGACCCUAGCAGGCUGUAAUCGUUGUCAGGAUUAGACAACCCAUGUUAGACACACAGCACCUGAAUGAACACAGACCUAAGCUGCAAAUACUAGAACAGAUCAGUGAAGAAUCGACCAAGAAUUUUCUUGACCAAGUUUUUUAAAGGAUAAACUACUAAAUACAUAUUAUCUAUGCUGUAAGCAAAAUCUAAUUUCUGUUUUGCAUAGACUGUUUUGUGAUGUCUUAGAAGAAGAAAGUCCUCAGCUCUAACUCCUGGUGCACAGUCGGACUCAAACUUCUUUAAAAGCAAAUGUGAGAUCUUUGUUUCAGCUUUGACCAGCAGAUGGGUCUGAGUUUACAAAGUUAAUUUAAGUCAGUUUGGAUUCCAUAUUCUUAUUUGGUUUCAUUACUCUAUUGCUAAUUAUAAUAAAUUAUAAAUAGGAGCUUUCUAGGACUUGAUUUAGAUCUACAGGUUUGGGGUUUUUUUUCCACAUUGUUUUUCUUAGUGAAGAUGGUAAAAGCAUGCUAGUUUUUCUCAUUCCACUUCUUCACUGAAGCUUCUUAAGAAAAUGAGAUACAAUAAAUCCAUUUAGGAUUAUGUUGAAAAAGCAUUUCUGCUUUUAAUAUUAGCCAUAUUUUUACUGCUAAGUUUUGCUGGCAAAUCUCUGAAAGUUUCAGCUUGCAACUUAUCCGGAUCACUUAAAUCUACAACACUGGCUUUGCAGCCUUGCAAGAACAUCUGUUUUGAUUUCCAGUGCUAUCUUUUUUAGUCCUAGAACACUCUUCUUUAGUGUGAGUGAGAUUUUUUCAGAAUCUUAAAGGGCCUUAGUUUUAACUCCAAAACAUAAUGAAUAUCAGGAGGAAGUACCUCAGUGUAAUGUUUCUUGUGUUAGUACUUUCACUGAAUAUAUUGUGUAAAUGGAUAAAGAAAUAGCUGGAUGUUCAAGUCACACUUUUCUAUGGCUUUAGUGAAACCUGGCAAUACAGUAGCAUUAUGCACUACAUCUCUUAUUAUGCUCUUAUUGAAGCAUAGUUUAUGUUUAUAUAUCUUUAUAUAUAUAUCUUUAUAUGUUGUAAAGAACUACUUAAACAAGUAGUGGCUAUUAAUGGGUUUAAUAGCAUGCUGCUGCUUUUCUUUGGUGGUAAAUGGAAGCACUUGGUGGGGAAGUAUUGGUCUGAAACUGAAUUUACAAAAAUUGUUCAAAAUUAAAUGCCUGAAAAAAGCCGAUGUAUUGCAACCAAUGACUAUCAUGUAGAGAAAGGACUAGUUAGAUAUCUGUUCCUUAAAUUGAUUCUGCUUUAUAAAUGCAAGAAUUAAUAAUGGUGUUGUGUACAUCUGCAAAUGGAAACCAAAACAGGUUAUGAUUUGAUAGCUCUGGUUAUCACUAGAAUUUGGAACAAGUGCUCCAACUGGAAAAACAGCUCAUUAGCUGCUAACUUGUGCUCUCACAAGCUUCAUAGCUUAGCAGAAAAAAAAUUGAUUACCUGGCAUUCAAGAUCAGUUCCAAAUAACUAUUCCUUAAAUAUGCUAUUUUAUACUUCAAAUAAUCUGUAUACAUUAAUUUCUUAAUUUCUUAGUCCAUGUAUGUACAGAUAAUGUCACUCUAUUGGCUAAAACCUUUAUCCUGUGAUAGAUAUCUCUUAUAUAUUAACACAAAUACCAUACUAUUGUUAAUAGGAUUGUAUCCCAACCUUCCAUCAAAUUGUUUACCAAAAUAAAUCUGUCAUUUUUUCUAUACACACUCCCACCUAAAAAAAAAAUGGUGUUUUUAUUCUGUAGUUUAUACCAGACUGAUAUGUAGUGCCCUAAAUCUCAAAGGUAUUUAUGGGUAAAAAGCAAGUUAAUAUAUGCAUAGUUUUACUUGUACAUUUAAUACAAAACUUCUAAUUAAAUUCUAAUUGAAUUUGACUUGUCAUACUUACACUGCUAGAUACUACGAACAUAUUAUGAUUUUUUUUUUAGUACAACUUAUGAAAAAUAAGUGCUUUAUUUCAUUUCUUCUAAAUUUCUUUUUCAUUUUUUUCUGGGUAGGUUAAUUUUUAAACAAAAACACUAUUUUGAAAACAAACAGUUGAAUCAAUUUCCCCCCUCGAAAUAUAGAAAUAAACCAUUUUUAUGGUCACAUUAAGACAUUAAUAUGUUAAAAAUGUUGGCAUGAAAAAAAUGGUGUUUUAAAAAAUCUCCCUUCUUCCUUUUUUUACAGUAUUUACCAAAUUUUCCUAGAGCUUUUGAAAAGCUUUCUUCCUGAGAAGACUUUUCUAUGGAAAAAUAUAUGUUUUAAUAUUUUCCCAGUUCUAAUUCCAAGAGUCCACAGGAAAUACAAGUUGUUUUUAGUUCGUAUCAGGUUCUACAAUGGUAUUGGGAGUUGAUGAAUGUAUAAAUUAUUAUGAUAAACUUUAGCCCUUCUUUAAUGUAAAACAUUCCUGUAACAAUUUGAUAGUUUUCAAAUAUACUCAUAAGGUGUAAUUAUCUACUGACAUAUUUGAAAGGAUAGUCAUUCUUUGUAACAUCAUGUGUUUGCUAUUUCCUACUCAUAGUGGACAUAGGUUUGUUAAUUUAAGUCACAAGAAAUCACUGUCCACUUCCCACCUUCUAAUCAGGGAAAAAACCUGAACAUGUUGAUCAAAUCCAGAUAAGGGAGACUAAUUUUUUUUUAAUUGAAUACACAGAAUUUUCAGAUUGUGCAGGAAAACUUGUUGAAUUCAUGAACAUUUGAAAAAGAAACCCACCCCAAUCCUUCUAUGAAUUGCAUGAAUUUUGCAUUUUAAUUUUCCCACUAUUUUCUAAACAGUCCCUGUGCUGGUUUAUCAGCUUCUGAUAGCUGUGUGAAUUUUGUAAUGCACCUUAUGAAUCUUUGUUAUUAUGAGGUGGAAAAAAAUUUGUUAAAAAUUAUUUAUGUAGAUCAUUGACCACUCCAUAAUUCUAUCCAAUUCCAUGAGCAUUUAAAUGUGCUCUGCUGCUCAUGUAUUUAAAUCUUUCACACUAUGUCUCUUUUAUUUUGGAUAAUGUUUAUUUAUAUGACUAACUGCAAAGUUAGAUGGGUAAAAUGAAAAAGAAAGGUGGGAUCGUGUUUUCCUCUUCUGUCUCUCUUUCUCUUUCUGUCUCUCACUCUCCCCCUCUCUUUUCUAAACAAGCUAAGAGUUUUUAUAAUUCAUCACCUGGCUGACAGAUGAGUUCUGCUGGAGAAUAUUAGAAAAUGUCUCAAAUCUCAUAUAUAUGCUAAUGGUAUGCUGAGACUGGUUGGUGGUAUGCCGGAGUUUUUAAUCUGUCUCGACCAGUGUGGAAAGUGGAGGAGACAAGUCAUUGCACUCGACAAUUUAUGAUCAAACAACUGAAUUGUAAAGGAAGAAGGACAUGCAGAAAAGGAGAGUAAUUUUCUGAUUUAACAGCGUUGUUACUACAAAUAAAGAAAUCUUGAUUUUGACUGCACUCGACAUUAAAUGAGUUUCCUGUGCCCUGCUCUGAAUUUUUCAUUUUCAGAUUUGUAUAAAGCACCCUGCUUAGAUACAAGUGACAGAUAAGGAGACGAUUGCAUAUGGAAAUCAAAUGUGUAUAAUAAAGCCAUCUUCUGUUUAUUAAAUAAACACAUGUAGAUGACUUCCGUGGAGAAUGCACUGAUAAUUCUUCAUUGUGUUCUAUUUUUUUUCCAAGUCACAAAGAAUCUUAUUUAACAACCACG